Molecule: small RNA, 177 nt
Filed under: Firmicutes bacterium CAG:882
Lineage: Bacteria; Bacillati; Bacillota
Description: Clostridiales-1 RNA
Rfam family: Clostridiales-1 RNA
Source: Rfam by way of RNAcentral
UAUAAUAAGUCCAUCAAUAGAAAUGCGGUGUGGCUACUUGCAGCCAAAACAGCAUUUAUAUUAGAUGGACAAACAGACAUGAGCAUAUAAUAUCGUUCAGCAAAGCUGAACAUAUGGAAUGCGAAUGCCUGUUGCGAUUUCGGGAGUCCGAAGGACGGAGAAAUCGUAAUUAUUAUG